AUUGAACGCUGGCGGCAGGCCUAACACAUGCAAGUCGAGCGCGAAAGCCUUUCGGGGUGAGUAGAGCGGCGGACGGGUGAGUAACGCGUAGGAAUCUACCUAGUAGUGGGGGACAACCUGUGGAAACGCAGGCUAAUACCGCAUACGCCCUAAGGGGGAAAGCGGGGGAUCUUCGGACCUCGUGCUAUUAGAUGAGCCUGCGUAAGAUUAGCUAGUUGGUGAGGUAAAGGCUCACCAAGGCGACGAUCUUUAGCUGGUCUGAGAGGAUGAUCAGUCACACUGGAACUGAGACACGGUCCAGACUCCUACGGGAGGCAGCA
Molecule: ribosomal RNA, 320 nt
Filed under: uncultured bacterium
Lineage: Bacteria
Description: bacterial SSU rRNA
Rfam family: Bacterial small subunit ribosomal RNA
Source: RNAcentral